AUCGACAACCAUGACUACAUGGUCAAGAUGAAGAACGUGAACAAGUUCAUUGACAAUGGCGACAAGGUAAAGGUCACCCUGCGUUUUCGUGGCCGCGAAAUGUCGCACCAGCAGCUCGGCAUGCAGCUGCUCGAGCGGGUCCAGGAAGACAUGAAGGAAACCGCAAAAGUCGAAGCUUACCCCAAGCUUGAAGGCCGCCAGAUGCUGAUGGUACUCAGUCCCAAAUAGACUUUGGGUCGGUCAGCACCGGUCACAUUAUCAAAUUCCAGGAAAAUGGCGUCAUCCGCUUUCAAACAGGGAUGACGCCAUUUUUCUA
This 316-nucleotide unclassified non-coding RNA is filed under the name Parasphingorhabdus marina DSM 22363. RNAcentral describes it as "Sphingorhabdus marina DSM 22363 Long range pseudoknot". The record is from RNAcentral. Lineage: Bacteria; Pseudomonadati; Pseudomonadota; Alphaproteobacteria; Sphingomonadales; Sphingorhabdaceae.